CCUACGGGAGGCAGCAGUGAGGAAUAUUGGACAAUGGUCGGAAGACUGAUCCAGCCAUGCCGCGUGCAGGAUGAAGGUCCUAUGGAUUGUAAACUGCUUUUGUAAGGGAAGAAUAAGGGGUACGUGUACUUUGAUGACGGUACCUUACGAAUAAGCAUCGGCUAACUCCGUGCCAGCAGCCGCGGUAAUACGGAGGAUGCGAGCGUUAUCCGGAAUCAUUGGGUUUAAAGGGUCUGUAGGCGGGCUGGUAAGUCAGAGGUGAAAGCGCUUAGCUCAACUAAGCAACUGCCUUUGAAACUGCUGGUCUUGAAUGGUUGUGAAGUAGUUGGAAUGUGUAGUGUAGCGGUGAAAUGCUUAGAUAUUACACAGAACACCGAUAGCGAAGGCAUAUUACUAACAAUUAAUUGACGCUGAUGGACGAAAGCGUGGGGAGCGAACAGGAUUAGAUACCCUGGUAGUCCACGCUGUAAACGAUGGAUACUAGCUGUUUGGUUUUAAGAUUGAGUGGCUAAGCGAAAGUGAUAAGUAUCCCACCUGGGGAGUACGCACGCAAGUGUGAAACUCAAAGGAAUUGACGG
Molecule: ribosomal RNA, 578 nt
Filed under: uncultured bacterium
Lineage: Bacteria
Description: bacterial SSU rRNA
Rfam family: Bacterial small subunit ribosomal RNA
Source: RNAcentral